This 31-nucleotide non-coding RNA is filed under the name Rattus norvegicus (Norway rat). The record is from RNAcentral. Lineage: Eukaryota; Metazoa; Chordata; Mammalia; Rodentia; Muridae.
UAGACUUCUGGAGUUAAGCCAGGGAAAGAUU